This 920-nucleotide ribosomal RNA is filed under the name uncultured bacterium. Its description in RNAcentral is "bacterial SSU rRNA". It matches the Rfam family "Bacterial small subunit ribosomal RNA", at positions 33 to 944 of the family's 1533-position model. The record is from RNAcentral.
ACGCUAGCUACAGGCUUAACACAUGCAAGUCGAGGGGAAACGGCAUUAAGUGCUUGCACUUUUUGGACGUCGACCGGCGCACGGGUGAGUAACGCGUAUCCAACCUUCCCAUGACUAAGGGAUAACCUGCCGAAAGGCAGACUAAUACCUUAUGGUCUUCACUGACGGCAUCAGAUGUGAAGUAAAGAUUUAUCGGUUAUGGAUGGGGAUGCGUCUGAUUAGUUAGUUGGCGGGGUAACGGCCCACCAAGGCAACGAUCAGUAGGAGUUCUGAGAGGAAGGUCCCCCACAUUGGAACUGAGACACGGUCCAAACUCCUACGGGAGGCAGCAGUGAGGAAUAUUGGUCAAUGGGCGAGAGCCUGAACCAGCCAAGUAGCGUGCAGGACGACGGCCCUAUGGGUUGUAAACUGCUUUUGUAUGGGGAUAAAGUCAAUCACGUGUGAUUGUUUGCAGGUACCAUACGAAUAAGGACCGGCUAAUUCCGUGCCAGCAGCCGCGGUAAUACGGAAGGUCCGGGCGUUAUCCGGAUUUAUUGGGUUUAAAGGGAGCGUAGGCUGGAGAUUAAGUGUGUUGUGAAAUGUAGACGCUCAACGUCUGACUUGCAGCGCAUACUGGUUUCCUUGAGUACGCACAACGUUGGCGGAAUUCGUCGUGUAGCGGUGAAAUGCUUAGAUAUGACGAAGAACUCCGAUUGCGAAGGCAGCUGACGGGAGCGCAACUGACGCUGAAGCUCGAAGGUGCGGGUAUCGAACAGGAUUGGAUACCCUGGUAGUCCGCACAGUAAACGAUGGAUGCCCGCUGUUGGUACCUGGUAUCAGCGGCUAAGCGAAAGCAUUAAGCAUCCCACCUGGGGAGUACGCCGGCAACGGUGAAACUCAAAGGAAUUGACGGGGGCCCGCACAAGCGGAGGAACAUGUGG